Molecule: long non-coding RNA, 7425 nt
Organism: Cyprinus carpio carpio
Lineage: Eukaryota; Metazoa; Chordata; Actinopteri; Cypriniformes; Cyprinidae
Source: Ensembl
UGGCAGGGGAUCAGUCUCUGGGGCACAUCUAGAUGUCCUGGUCUCCACUGGCAUUUCAGGGGAAUUAUUAAGUUUGCCCACAAAACCAGUGCAAAUAACUCAGCGCUGACCUGCCGGAUGGCUUUGGAAGGGCAACCUCCCAGAGGGACGGCGUUGGGAGCUUAAUUAGAAUGUCAGGAGACACUUUCAAAGUAGUGUGAGAUGAGAGUCCACUCCAAUGGGAAACCCGAGCCGAUCGUCUUUCCCAGUUCAAGGCAAAUUGUUGAAUGGGAUCAGACGCAAGGAAUCACAUCUUCUGCAGCGGCUCCUCUGGUAGCAUCUUGCUAAGGUCAAGUCAUUCAUGACGGCCUCCCUGAAGCGGCAGCUGCUCGGUGUAAGGUUACGAUUUCACCUGCGUGCGGCAGUAACGCAGGAACUGGCAUGUCAUUGAGGAGCGGGUUGUUUUCUGGGCAUCAGCUCGUGUGUCUUGCAGGGAGGGAUGAUGAAACUCGAACACUUCGUGCGGUAGUGUGUUAAAUCAGCAUCAGAGAUUAUUAGCAGCAGGCCUGCGUGGAAUUAGCGACUGGAUAGUUGCGACAAAGACGGGAAGCAUUUUAGUGGAUGCAUAAUGAAGAGCAAAGGAUGUGUUUUAGAUACCAACUAUUGCAUCUCGGCCAUAUGGGAACGCAAUAUUGGAAGUGCUGCUUCAGUGGAUUCCUGAGGCACCUCCUGUUACCGUCACUGAACUUCCUGCCGAAAGACGGGCUGAUUUAGUGCUCAGGGAUGGAGUGGAAGAGAAAGAUCUGCACCUGGGUCAGAGCACAGCAAACCAGCGAACCCUCAGAAGUGACCAUUUAUACAAGAGUUCAGGAGUCUGCGCGCCGUCUUUCUCGUGUGGGUUUGAAGCCUUGGGCCGCGGUGAAGGGGUUAUUUGAGCAGCUUCCAUCUACCGCUGGGCUCGUUCCAAGGGAAAGUGUAGAGUUGGGCCAAAAUCCGCGGACAGCUACUGAUGAGAUCUGCCGAGUCCAAAAAUGUGAGCGCAAUAAAACAGCGGCAUGAGGAAAAGCUGGACGUCCUCCUGGGCUGCAUUAGCGAGAUCUGAAUGGUUUGCGGUGGAUUGCGAGGGAUUCGCACACUUCUGAGGAGCCGAUUUGACCUGGACGCAGAGGUUAAAGGUCAAGUUCACCUCGUUUCCCAGUGGUUUAUUUGAUUUCACUGCAUCUUCUCUCUAGCUUACAUUUAAGUGGACAAUAACUUGAGAGGCACACUAAAACCUCAAUUAUAACAAUAUAUUACAAAACAAUAAUUGGAAAAAAAAUGUACUGUACAUUAGAGAAAAGUGUUUCUGAUAUACCUGACUUUUAAAAAAAUAAUCAUAACAUUUUAUAUGUAUUAUUAAUUGUGAUACACAAGCAUGAAGACAGGGAAAUGAUAAUAUUUGGUGGUUUAAAAUGCUGUAAAAUUAAAAAAAAAAAUUAAAUCAGCUGUAUUCGUACUGUACUGGGUUACAAAGAUAUACCUGUACAUUUGGGGGAAAUCCUUUGUUAGUCAAGUUAAGUCUGCUUUAUUGUCAAUUCUUCCACAUGUACAGUACAUACAUACAGAGAAUCGAAAUUGCGUUACUCUCAGACCCCCGGUGCAUACAGAUAACACAAACCGUAGAGCCUAAAAAUCUAGAUCAAAUAUAAAAUAUAAGAUAAAACUAUACAAUAAGGGAAUGUAAAAAAGUAUCACGGAAACAUGGUAUAUAAAAAUAUAUAGUAAAAAUAAGAUAGACGCCAUGGAGGCACAGGGAAAAUUGUAAUUUGGUGGUUUAAAAUGCUGUGAAAUGUUUCAAAAUAAUCUUUAUAUCAAUCAGCAAUAAGACCAUGAUCUUUUUUCGGGGACAUAAAAUGCACUAAAUACCAGGAAUGACUCAUAACCUGUAUUAAAAUUAACGAGCAUUAAAUAAACGUUUGUUAAUAGUAACUGUUACAUGAAAUGUAAUGUAAUUUCAGAGGCAGAGCAAGUUAUUUAAUCUGAAGAGUGAUUACGAAGACAAACAUUUUCAUUGAAAUGACAUGCACUGCUGAAUAAUUUGCAAAAAAGACCACAAGCAUUUAUAAAGAAAACAAGUAGAUUCAAAUUUAUUCUGUUGUCUUUAAAACUUGACUGAGUAAAGUAUGAUCACACGGGGAUCUUGAUUUUUGAUUGGCCACUUCAGCUCAUCCGACGGUUCUUCCACCAGCGCUUUUAAUGUCAACUGCGUUCAUUUCAGUCUCAGCUGAUCACUGCUGUUACGUAUCAGGUUACUAGUUCUCCAGCCAACUCACUCCCACCGAAAUCUCCCUUCCUCUUACACAAACACAUACGAUGCCACCGUAUUACGUGUUGUCCAAGCAUUUGAGCAUUAAAAAAGGUUACCGUCCAAAUUCAUCCAUGCAUGUGCGUUUUCAAGCUUUGCUCAUCAGUUAACGAGAAAAUUAUGUGAUUUUCACUUUUGCGCGAAUUGCAACUGGUGCACAUGUGGAAGUCAGUCAGUCACACCCAUAGUGUAACACUAUACCUUCCCUGGAUGGGCCUUUAAGGGCUUUUAGACACAAGUUGUCCCGGCUUUUCCUCUGAUUGAGCGAUUCAACACAUCAUAUAUAGAAACAGCUGUGCUACAAAUGAGCCCCUUCACGGUGACUUUGAUAAAUGUGCUGAAUUGACUGCAUACAAGCCCUCAGGACGACGGCCUCCUGCGAUUUCCUUCCCUGUCAAGUUAAACGUUUCUUAACUACACGUUUGUCCGUUUCAGUGCGCUCCUCGUACGCCGUUCUAUCACCGAGCUGGAAGCAAAUUUUUAAGAACUCUGUCAUUACAGGGAAGCGCAAUUCAAGCUGUGUAAAUACGAAUUCAUAUACAGACCACCGUCCUCAAGAGCGGUUUAAAUCAUAAGCACAUUAGGCAUUGUACAUAAUCCCAGCCGCAUGUAUAAAUCACCGCACUGCUGCAGUAAUGAGUGGUAAUGCUGGGAAUACACUAACUAUGAGAGUGUUCAGUGUUCAUGACCCCUCAUGACAAACGCUUUACUGUGUUUCUCUCAUAGUCUUAGCACAAAUAUUUCACAUUCAUACACACAUCUUCCCACUGCAUACAGAAAAAUAGAUUUGGUGCGUUGGUAUGUAAAUUUAGAUUUACAUAUUUAUUAUUUUAAAUGAAGUAUUCAUAUCAGGAAUUUUUGCUUGUUUUCAUUCAAUUUAAAGGGUUAGUUCACCUAAAAAAUUAAAUUAGCCUGUUAUUUGCUCACCCUCAAGCAAUAGGUGUACAGUAUAUGACUUUCUUCUUUAAAGGCCUUUAUUUACACCCUGGAGACGUGUGAGACAUGUUUUAUUAUGGAUGGGCGCACUUUAUUUAACAUGUUUUGGACUGAAACGGAAACACCCGCCUACUGCAAUGAUAACGCUUAGAAGAGCCAGGACAGUGUUUAAUAUAACUCCAAUUGGAUUCGUCUGAAAGAAGAAAGUCAUAUACACCUAGGAUGCCUCGAGGGUGAGUAAAACAGACAAAUUUUCAUUUUUGGGUUAACGAAUCCUUUAAGAAGGUGCUGUAAAUUGAAUGAUAUAUUCUAUUGUAAUUGUACGAUACUAUGAUAUAUCGUGCAUGCAACUUGUUUUAUUGUGUAUUGACAGUUUUAUUGAAAAAAUCACAAAUUUUGGCUACCAUUAAUCUAGGCUACAUCCAUUUUGUCCAACAUGUUUUCAACCCCAACAAGCUUCAAGAAAAUCCCAAGUUUCCUACUCGUAAUUACGACUUUGUGGUGACGUUUGUGCGUGUUCAGCUGGUAAAAACAAUGUUUUAUACAGUGCAUGGUUUGAAUGGGAAUAGUGAUGUUCGGUUCUUGAACGAAUGGUUCGAAUCGUUGUUUUGAGUCGGUUCUCAGGAAGUAACCGGAUGAGAAGAUUUUAGUUUCGGGUUGAUGAUGCAUGACGCACAGCCGAAGUAGCACGUCCAACUCAAAAAGAAAUGAAUAAGCCGGUUCAACCACCUGUUGAAGUUUGCCGAGGAUUACCGAAGAUUCUGAGUGAGUUGACGAUUCUGUGCAAGCCUGAGGCGCGUUCUGGAAAUAUGCUUAUUAUGAUUGUUAUUAAUUUACAUUUUAUUAAAACCUGCAACAACCUUUCUGUCGAGUGAUGUAAAUAAAUUUUACAAUAGUUAAUUGUGCAUGUAUAUUAUAUUUAAAGUUGCUUAAAAAUCAAGGAGUUUAUAAGACAUGUAGAACAUAUCUGUGUUUGUGCAUCAGUGUCUGUAAUGUGUGCUGUAGGUUUAAAACUUUUAGGAAUCUAAGCCAAGUUGUAGGCUAGUCAAUAUUGGUCAGUCAGUCGUAUGAGGAUCCGCGAAUGAAACUGACCACAAACACCAUUAACUUAACUUAAGUGAAUUAUAUGGCAAUAAUCAGCAGUAUGCUUUCACACAAAUAACUUUGUUUUUGAAUGUUUCAAUAUGUGUUGACACAAAUAUCGAUAUCGAAAUAUGUUCGUUCAUCUCCUCUCUUGAUACAGGUGAGGUUCACACGUUCCCCUCUUUUUUCAGGCUUGAUUGGAUGUUCUUGCGACGCGACGUGUUUGUGCCUUUCCCUAACAAUCACGUAGUUGGUCUGUAGAUUCGGUUAUUUAACAACUAGAAAGGAGUUUGAAACAGCUUGUGGUGAAUUUUACCACAUGAGUUGUAGAAUAUAGCAAAAUGGGUCUUUAUAUUUGUCUAUUUUUUUGGUCAAGCAGCAGUAUUUAAUUUACUGAUAAUCGCUGCUCACCUUCAAAGUUAGCAUCUUAUUUAUUUCUUGUUGCUGUGGAAUUACAAUGGACGUUUUUGUACCCUGUAAUGGGCUCUUUUUUCUUAGUGGAAGCUUUAAGAUAAUCUACAUCCUUAAUCUUAUAUUUUGCAAUAAUGACUGGCUAACUGUACUGUUACUUGUAGUUCAAUUAGUCUGAUUAGUAAACUUUUACUUUUCAGUUAGGUCUAACGUUACUUGACAUAUGGACCUUUUCACAAGACCGGGAUGAUGCACUUUAAUGGUCAUCAGCAUCUUCAAAAGUUUUUUAGAAUUAUUUUUAAAUGUAUGUACAUUUAUAAUACUAUAAUUCGUAUUAUAUCACCUUUGCAUCAAAUGACAAAAAAAAACAACUAGUUAACGCUAACACAAGGGUGUUUCUAAUGCAGCGUCUGUGGGAGGGAUUGUAAAUUUGACAUCGUUCUCUCUUCUGACUGCCGUUAUCAGUCUCUCUCAAUUUUUCUCUUUUAUUGAAAGUCAUGAAAACACUAUAGUGGAGUUUUAUUUUGGUUUUUGAGCAAAUUGGGAAUGCAAAAAAUAUGUUUGCGGUACUCUCCCAUUUACUGCUCUUCAAGUUAACCCAACUAUGACGACUUCCGUUGUGAGAAACCAAGAAAUGUGAAAAAGGUCCAUUGUAAAGAUUUUUAGCUGCUCUGUCAGCAUUUUCAUAAGCCCCAAAACAAAUAUUAUAAAUAGCUAUUUUAGGCAACAGUCAUAUAUGUGACAGAGUAAUGUGAUUUAGAUGUUUUUAUCAGCUGUUUGGACUCUCAUUCUGACGGCACCCAUUCACUGCAGAGCAUCCAUUGCUGAGCAACUGAUGCAGUGCUGCAUUUCUCCAAAUCUGAGGAAGAAACAAACUCAUCUACAUUUUGGAUGAUCUGAGAGUGACGCCUCCAACCACCUGAGACUUUUUACGAUCCUGAUGCGUUAAAUCAAGUUGAGAGAUCCCAUUUCAAUCACAAAACGGAAGUAAAGUGGCUUACUGACGCUGCUUCAUGUUGACUUUAAAGGAGAAGAGCUUGAGUACCACAUAAUGUUUCCAAGAAUGGCUAAAUAAUAUUUCCACAGGCAAAUUCUUCUAAGUGGAUGCACCCAAUGUGGGCAGAAGAUCCCUAAAUAGAAACUCUUAUGAAAGGCAACAUCGAAUAGUGGUUUGGGCCACAAAAUGACUGAUCUAUCAUACCACCUCAGACUUAAACGCUCGCACAGAUUUUCUGUUUUCACGUGCCAAAACUAUCAUAUAAAUGGACUUUUUCCAAACCCUUCCAAGGCAGCGUCAGGUAAACCUUUUUCCGCCAUAGAAAGAUGUUUAGGUGGCGUUUCAUACAAGCAGUCAGUCGUCUUUGAUGUUUAUUAAUCGUCAACCGAUUGCACCCGAGGGACUUCUGGUUCCUAGGGUCUCGCCGUCAAGGGCCCACAGUCUUGCGGUGCCUUAUGUCCGUUCCAUUUUAGGCAGUGGAAGCAUUAGAGAAGCAGGGUGCUGACAGUGGGCAUGCCAACACAGUCCUACAGCUUCCAUAAACAAAACCUUCGGAUUAGUCAGGCCGUAUUUAACUGGCAUCAGUGGAUCAUCAAAGUGAACGCCAAGGCAACACUAAAACAUAUGCAACGCUCCUUCAAUAAACCACCGAACGACUUAAGAAAGGCUCCCAAAUGUGCAGCAGAUGGCUUGUGGAAUUUCUAAACAAAGAGAUACCCAUCUAUUAUAUCGAAAGCGCUUUACGUUUUAUUUGGACCUCUGCUGUCUCUCAUCACUCUCGGAGCAUGACAGUAAUUAUAGCCAUCAAGGUGUUCCCUUGGAAACGUCGCGGCGCUGCUUAAUCUCAGAAGCCCCGGCUGACAUCACGGCGUAGUUUAUUUUAAAGUGGCUGAAGUAUGUAAUGGCUGUAAUUGCAGACAGACCAGAUUUACACAGACAACUGUCAGGAGGGCUAAUCCAUAAAUCAGCUUAACCAGUACUCUGAGAGUAAUGCUAUAACAAAACGGCACGGCGUACCAAAUUUUACUGGAGUAAAGCAAUUUGUUUAAUCGCUGCGUAAAUGCUGUGACGUGCCUUGGUCUGUGGUGAACUGUGACGAUCAGAGCAAUCAGAUGGUAUAGAGAUGUCAAAAGUAUGGUGCUUUGAUACCAAAUCAAUACUAAUGUUUAAAAAAUGAAUGCAUAUAUUAUAAAAGUAUGUGCUUUUAUAUGCAUCUGUCUAAAAGGAUGCAUAUAUCAUGCAUAUCAGUUCAACGUGCUUUGUGGUAAAAUGGCGGGGAAUUAGCAAUCUAAUGCACUUAUUGGUCAAAAAUGCCUGUAACAGAACAGUUGUUUUGACUUAUGUAAAUGUAAAUGGUUGGGACCAAAAAAAAAAAACAAAAAAAAAAAAAAACAGUGUAAAUGCUUAUUAUCAUUAAUUUUAAUGUUGUAAAUAUUCUGUUUGGUUGUUGUUGUUUUUUCUUCACAAAAAGGUUUAAUUUGUUAACAUUAGUUAAUUCAUUAGCUAACAUGAACGAUGAACGAUAUUUUGUGUAUAUAGCAUUUAAUAAUCUGGGUUUUUAAUUUUUUGUGAGUUCACAGUUCAUUAAUUAAUGUUAACAGAUACAACUUCUAAAUUUAAAAAUGUAUUAGUAAAUGUCAGAAUCAACGUAAACUAAAUUAUCUAGAGGUUUUGU